GAUGAAGCUCUUGGAUCACUGCAAAUCAAGGCUUAAAGAUGGAAUCUCGCUCUGUCACCCAAGCUGGAGUGCAGUCGCAUGAUCUCCACUCACCACAAGCUCCUUCUCCUGGGUUCACGCCAUUCUCCUGCCUCAGACUCCUGAGUAGCUGGGACUACAGGCGCCUGCAACCACGCCCGGCAAAUUUUUUGUAUUAUAGUAGAGAUGGGGUUUCACCAUGUUAGCCAGGAUGGUCUCGAUCUCCUGACCUCGUGAUAUGCCCACCUCAGCCUCCCAAAGUGCUGGGAUUAUAGGUUGAGCCACUGGGCCUGGCCCUGUUUGUUCUUUUACAUUAACUUUACAAUGUAUUUGCCAUGUUUUAAAAAUAAAUUUAAUUGGAAUUUUAUUGAAAUUUUAUGAGACAUGAUUUAGUCAAAGAUGAACACACAACAUUAUUAUUACUGUUUCCAUCCAGGUAUGGCAUAUUUCUUUGUUUUCUCUAGUUGUCUUUUAUAUUGCUCAAUAAAAUUUGUGGCUCUGGUACAUUUCAUAAUAAUCAUACAUCAUAUUUCAUUAUUUCUAAUUAUUAUAAUGGAUCGCAUGUACAUUUACUAUGUACCACAUAUUAUGAGAUAAUGAAUAUAUUCAUUAUCUCAAUUCAUAAAACAAUCAUGUGAUUUAGUUGGUGUUAUUACUAGAUUAUUACCAUUGUACAAGUAAAGAAAAUAAAGACAAAAAAAAAAAGAAAACAGACUCAGCAAAAUCAAACCAAUAAAGACUUAAUUAGAAUUUUUGGGCAUAUAUUAAAAAUUUAAUACAACUCAAUGAAAGCAAAAAAAAUUUUAAAAAAUGACCAGGCAGAUUUGAGAAAGAGCCAAACAGAAAUUCCAGAAAUAAAAACAUAAUUGUUGAAAUUGAAGACAGAUUUGACAGCAGAUUACAUAUAAUUGAAAAGGAAAAUGUAAACUGGAAGACAGGCUGAAGAAAUUGCUCAGAAUGAAACCCAAAGAAGUAAAAAAUAAGAAAGAAACAAGAGAAAUGGAAGACAAGAGUGAUAAGAUAUUACAACUAACAGGAUUUCAUAAGUAGAACAAUAAACUGUUAGAAAGGUUUUGUAAAAAAGAUAACGGCUUGGAAUUUUCCCAAAGUGAUGAAAAACUCCACCCUUCAUAUUCAGGAAGCUCAAUUUAAAAGGGAAAAAAAAUCACCUAAAUGUAUCAUCAUAAAAAUAACGGAACCCUGAAGAAAAGAAUAUAUUGAAAACAAGCAGAGAGAAAAUUCACAUUAUCCAUGAAAGAAUAUGGAUUUAGACCAAGAGCUAAUGUCUUAAAAAUGGAAGCAAGAAGACAAUGUACUAAGAAAAAAUAAUCACAUACGAAAUUAAUAUAUGUUUUAAUAAACAGGCCAAAUAUAAGACAAUAUUUAAGUCAUAAAAACCAAACAAAUACUGAAUUUGCUAACUAAAAGACCUUCACUAAAGGAAAUUCUAAGAGAUGUUCUUCAGUAGAAGGGUGUUCCCCUAGAUGGAAGACUUGAGUUGCGAGAAGAAAUGGUGAGUACGUAAGAAGACAAAUAUGUGAGUAAAUAUAAAUGAACACUGACUAUAUAACAUGUAGUUUCCAGUGGAUUAAGAAUAAGAUGAGAAGCAAAACCAUAAAACUUCUAAAGAUAAUACAGUAAGACUACCUUAAUAGCCCCAGUGGGUUUUCAUAUAAAACCUAAACAAAUUCUGUUCACCAAAAAAACACUAUCAGGAUCAAAGACCCAAAUAUAAGGGGUAAAACUAUAAAAUUUGUAGAAGAAAACAUAGGUAUAAAUCUGUGACCGUGAAUUAGUCAAUGGGUCUUAGAUACAACACCAAAUGCAAGAGUGACAAAAGGAAAAAACAAACUGGACUUUAACAAAAUUCAAAACUUUUGUACAUCAAAGGAUACCAUCAGGAAAGUGAAAAGAACCCACAGAAUGAGAGAAAAUAUCUAUUAAGUCAUACAUCUGAUGAGGAACUAAUGUCCAGAAUAUAUAAAGAAUUCUUAGAAUAACAAAAAGACAACCCAAUUAAAUGAGCAAACAGUCUAAAUGAACAUUUCUCUAAAAAGAUAUACAAAUGGCCAAUCAGCACACGAAAGGAUGCUCAACAUCAUUAGUCAUUAAGGAUAUGCAAGUGAAAACUACAACUAGAUACAACUUCACAUCUACAAGGAUGGGUAUAUUUUUUUAAAAAACAAAAAUAACAGAUGUUGGCAAGGAGGUAGGAAAAAAUGGAACCUCCAUACACUGCUGGUAAUAAUAUAAAAUGGUACAGAGACUUUGGAAAACAGUUUUGAAGUUUUUCAAAAAUUUAAACAUAGAUUUACCAUAGGCCCACUCCUAGAUAUAUAAAGAAAAUUGUAAAAAUACGUCCGCACAAAAACGAUUACAUGAAUCUCAUCACAGUACGUUAAUAAUCAUAGUCAAAAAAUGAACAUAACUCAAAUAUCCAUCAACUAAUGAAUGGAUAAACAAAACAUAGUAUACUCAUGCAAUGGGAUUCAGGCAUAUAAAGCAAUGAAGUGCUGACACAAGAUACAACAUGGAUGAAUCAGGACAACAUGCUAAAUAAAUGAAGCCAAACACAAAAGGUCACAUAUGAUUCUGCUUUUUCUGAUAUUUGGCAUAUGCUAGUCCAUAGAGACAGAGAAUAGAUUAGUGGUUGCCAGGGGCUGGGGAAAGGGGGAAAUGGGGAGUAACUGCUAGUAAGUAUGGAGUUUCUUUUUGAAAUGAUAAACAUGUUCUAGAGUUAGAGAGUGGUGAUAGCUGUACAACUGUAUGAAUACAUUAAAAGCACUUAAAGCGCCUGCAGUCCCAGCUACUCGGGAGGCUGUUGCAGGAGAAUCGCUUGAACCUGGGAGGCAGAGGUUGCAGUGAGCCAAGGUCACACCACUGCACUCCAGCCUGGGUGACACAGUGAGACUCCAAUUCCAGAAAAAAAAAUGCACUUAGUGUACACUUAAGAGUGGAUACUAGGCUAAAAGUGAAGUGACAGGCCUCAAACUAGGCAAAUCUUCUAUACACAUAUCUGACAAGGGACUUCAGGAAAUCUUAAAAGUUUCAAUGUUGAAAUAGGAGACUAUAGACAAAAGACUUGAACAAUGCACAUAAGGAACGCAAAUAACCCACAAACAAAUGAAAAUAAGCUCAGCCUUCUUCCAAACCACAGAAGACUAUUUCAUAUUCAACUGAAAAAAAUGAUAUCAAGUAAAGGCAAGAAUGUGCACAAACCAGUACCCACAUAAGCUGCCAGUGGGAAUGUAAAAAGGUGUUACUUCUUAGCAAAUUUGGUAUCAUCUAUUAAAUAGUUCACUGUGCAUAAUCUUGGGCCAAGCACUGCCAUUCCUGGGCACAUGCCAUGGAAAAUCUCUGCAUGUGAACCAAAAACCAGCACCAUUGUAUGGAUUAUAAAAAAAAAUAAAAAAUAGAAUGGACAAACAAAUUUCACUCUCUA
RNAcentral lists this long non-coding RNA (3460 nucleotides) under Homo sapiens (human). RNAcentral describes it as "HSALNT0266047". The record is from RNAcentral. Lineage: Eukaryota; Metazoa; Chordata; Mammalia; Primates; Hominidae.